RNAcentral lists this ribosomal RNA (459 nucleotides) under uncultured bacterium. RNAcentral's name for it is "partial 16S ribosomal RNA". It matches the Rfam family "Bacterial small subunit ribosomal RNA", at positions 338 to 795 of the family's 1533-position model. The record is from RNAcentral.
CCUACGGGAGGCAGCAGUGAGGAAUAUUGGUCAAUGGGCGCGAGCCUGAACCAGCCAAGUCGCGUGAGGGAUGACGGUCCUACGGAUUGUAAACCUCUUUUGUCGGGGAGCAAAACACGCCACGCGUGCCGUCUCGAGAGUACCCGGAGAAAAAGCAUCGGCUAACUCCGUGCCCGCAGCCGCGGUAAUACGGAGGAUGCGAGCGUUAUCCGGAUUUAUUGGGUUUAAAGGGUGCGCAGGCGGAAGAGCAAGUCAGCGGUAAAAUUGAGAGGCUCAACCUCUUCGAGCCGUUGAAACUGGGUUUCUUGAGUGAGCGAGAAGUACGCGGAAUGCGUGGUGUAGCGGUGAAAUGCUUAGAUAUCACGCAGAACCCCGAUUGCGAAGGCAGCGUGCCAGGGCCUGACUGACGCUGAUGCACGAAAGCGUGGGGAUCAAACAGGAUUAGAUACCCGUGUAGUA